CUCGUAGGCGGCCGACUAAGUCGGACGUGAAAUCCCUCGGCUUAACCGGGGAACUGCGUCCGAUACUGGCAGGCUUGAAUCCGGGAGAGGGAUGCGGAAUUCCAGGUGUAGCGGUGAAAUGCGUAGAUAUCUGGAGGAACACCGGUGGCGAAGGCGGCAUCCUGGACCGGCAUUGACGCUGAGGAGCGAAAGCCAGGGGAGCAAACG
RNAcentral lists this ribosomal RNA (207 nucleotides) under uncultured Acidobacteriota bacterium. RNAcentral's name for it is "uncultured Acidobacteria bacterium partial 16S ribosomal RNA". It matches the Rfam family "Bacterial small subunit ribosomal RNA", at positions 568 to 774 of the family's 1533-position model. The record is from RNAcentral. Lineage: Bacteria; Pseudomonadati; Acidobacteriota.